Molecule: ribosomal RNA, 492 nt
Filed under: uncultured bacterium
Lineage: Bacteria
Description: partial 16S ribosomal RNA
Rfam family: Bacterial small subunit ribosomal RNA
Source: RNAcentral
AGUGAACGCUGGCGGUAGGCCUAACACAUGCAAGUCGAACGGCAGCACAGUAAGAGCUUGCUCUUACGGGUGGCGAGUGGCGGACGGGUGAGGAAUACAUCGGAAUCUACUUUUUCGUGGGGGAUAACGUAGGGAAACUUACGCUAAUACCGCAUACGACCUACGGGUGAAAGCAGGGGAUCUUCGCACCUUGCGCGAUUGAAUGAGCCGAUGUCGGAUUAGCUAGUUGGCGGGGUAAAGGCCCACCAAGGCGACGAUCCGUAGCUGGUCUGAGAGGCUGAUCGGCCACACUGGAACUGAGACACGGUCCAGGCUCCUACGGGAGGCAGCAGUGGGGAAUAUUGGACAAUGGGCGGAAGCCUGAUCCAGCCAUACCGCGUGGGUGAAGAAGGCCUUCGGGUUGUAAAGCCCUUUUGUUGGGAAAGAAAAGCAGCAGGUUAAUACCCCGCUGUUCUGACGGUACCCAAAGAAUAAGCACCGGCUAACUUCGUG